GGGAUGCAAGGAAGGUCGGGAGUCUCUUAAGAAGGAAAUGAAAUCUUUUCCAUCCGCUGGGCUUUUGACAAGCCUUCUAGUGCUAUUUUCCUACCUGCCAGGUAGUUUCCACGGCUUAAUCGACUGUCCCUGACAUUCCCUUCUACGGGCUGCGCGCUCCCUUGCCGCUGUCCAGCAGCUACUUCUACAUCCAGGUGCCAACAUCUCCCAGUCGUGAAAUCAUAAUACAUGCAUGCAAAUGAGCACAACGCGCUAUACAGAUGUGGUGGUGGUAUUAUUAUUGCUAUUGUUGUUGGUUUUGCUUUUCAAGCUCCACCACAGACUAAUGACCAACCAAGUAGGGACCUAGGUGGUUCUCUGUCCUUUUCUGGAGGAGGUCCUCGAGGCACAGGCGGUGAUAACCAGUAGGCUGUGCUUUGUCCAGGAGCUCCAGGGCCUGAGGACGGGCAAUGUAGGGCGGAGACUCUGAGGAGAAUCUGUGCAAAUUGCCGCUGUGAGAGCUGUGAGACGAAAUGAGGCUCAUAAAAUACCUCGAGUCUCGUCUCCUUUUCCUCUGGGAGAGCUGAUGAAAGAACAUGAGAGAAGAAACGGACUUUGACGCCCACCUCGCCCGCAUCCCCACCUAGCCCAGCUUUAGGGACACUAGAAGGACUCGUGGAGGCAAAGCUGGGUCCAAACGUGAGCUUCUGGGAAAACCGAAAAGGUUAACACAUUUCCAGUCCCUGAGAUUCCCACUUCCUGCAUCAUUGCGCAUUCCACAAAUGGAAUUGAAGGCCCAACAUAGAGACAUGCAAGCUGAAACUGCCCAAGUUAAUCUGGGUCUCUAGGCUUAAGGCUCAAGGUCUUGGGCCCCUACAGAGAAUGAGCAAUGGACCUAGUAUGCUACGGCAGCCUCUCUACUGCUGACUUUGAGGAAGCAAGCUGCCAUUCUGGAGAGGCCCACAUGGCCACAAACUGAGGGUGACCUCCGGGCAAUAGCCAACAAGAAACUGAUGGCUUCAGUCCAGCAAUCUUUAAGGAACUGAAUCCUGCCAACAACUGGGGGAGCAAGCUUAGAAGAAGGUCUUUCCCCAACUGAGCCUUCAGUUGAGAUCACUGGCAGCACCUGGAUGGCAGCUUAGUGAUACACCCUGAAGCAGAUGGUCAGGGUAGGCUUCUCUCAGAUUUCUGACCCACAGAAAUCAUGAAAUAAUGUGUGUUUUUUUGAACCACUAAAAAAAUUUGUGGUAAUCUUUUAUGCAGCAAAGACAACUAAUAUAUUGUGCCAGAAUUAAGUGUCAGAUCCUUAGUAAGAGAGAUACCCAUAUGUCCUUUCUGAAUCUGUCCUUUUUGUGUUAUGACAUGUGGGGUUCGCUAAAAUAUGGGGCUCAAGACAGAGUCCCUUCUUGCCUGGGUAUGAGAGCAAUACCAGGACCAGUUAAUUAGUCUUCAGUUUUUUUUUCUUGCAUGUUUCCUAAAAACAUUUUGGAAAACUAUGUGACUUCUUGUGUAUUUUUUACUUUAUAUCUAAUUUCUUUUCUUGAAAAUUAAAAUAACUACAAAGAGUGUAAAAUUGUGAUAUCUUGUAAAUAGUGCCAUUUUAAAGUGAGACUGUUUAUAUUACUCUUUUAAAUGUAUCCAAUAGAACCUAUAUGCCAUAGCUUUUUGAUAUUCAACAUCAUCUUUUUAAAAUGUAUUAAUAAAAUGUUCUUCAACAGGUAGACAUUUUACAUUAUUUAUUUUUCCUUCGAAUUCAUAUU
Long non-coding RNA from Camelus dromedarius (Arabian camel), 1739 nucleotides. RefSeq lists it as uncharacterized. The transcript is spliced from 3 exons. The record is from RefSeq and is a predicted model, not a curated record. Lineage: Eukaryota; Metazoa; Chordata; Mammalia; Artiodactyla; Camelidae.